AGAGUUUCCUCCCUGUGCCAUUGAGGUCUAUAAAGUAGUGGAGAAAGCUGAUUAUCCCAGGAAUGAAAAUGGAGAAAUUGCUGCUAUUAUUCAUCCGAAUCUCCAGAGGAUCAAGACUGGAAACCACUGCACCCUGGAGAUCCCGUGUUUUUAACGCUUGAUGGGACGACUAUUCCAUUGGAUGGAGACUGUACUGUGUAUCCAGUGUUUGUAAAUGAGGCCGCAUAUUAUGAAAAGAAAGAAGCUUUUGCAAAGACAACUAAACUAACACUCAAGGCAAAAAGUAUUUGCUCCUCUUUACAUUAGAAAUCACUCCAGCUUACUUGAUAUACAGUAUCUUGAAAACCUCUACUAGUUUUGUAAGCUCCUCAAGAGCAGGAUGUGCCUUAUUCAACGUCACCAUUACACCUAGCACAACAGUGCCUUACUCAGCACACAUCCAAGCAGAUUUUUUAAAUUAAUGAAUGUCUUUUAACUGUCUCAUGUUUUAUGUUUGUAGUUUAUUCAAAGAAGUGUUUUCUAUUUCUGAAUAGUUUAUUAUACAUUAUACUUUGAUGGUUUAACAUUCUUAAUAAACAGCAAUUAUAGUCUAAACAUAAAAUUGAAAUUGAUACUAUAUAUAGAAAGUUAUUAACUUGAAUACAGAAUUAAAUAUACAUCUUCAACAA
Carlito syrichta (Philippine tarsier) is the source of this 668-nucleotide long non-coding RNA. RefSeq lists it as uncharacterized. Lineage: Eukaryota; Metazoa; Chordata; Mammalia; Primates; Tarsiidae. The record is from RefSeq and is a predicted model, not a curated record. The transcript has 2 exons.